UACAGAGGGUGCAAGCGUUAAUCGGAAUCACUGGGCGUAAAGCGUGCGUAGGUGGUCAUGCAAGUCGGGUGUGAAAUCCCCGGGCUUAACCUGGGAACUGCAUUCGAUACUACAUGGCUAGAAUAUGGUAGAGGGAAGUGGAAUUUCCGGUGUAGCGGUGAAAUGCGUAGAUAUCGGAAGGAACACCAAUGGCGAAGGCAGCUUCCUGGACCAAUACUGACACUGAGGCACGAAAGCGUGGGUAGCAAAC
RNAcentral lists this ribosomal RNA (250 nucleotides) under uncultured bacterium. RNAcentral describes it as "partial 16S ribosomal RNA". It matches the Rfam family "Bacterial small subunit ribosomal RNA", at positions 524 to 773 of the family's 1533-position model. The record is from RNAcentral.